UAAUAACAGGGGUCCUGAAAUAUUUUCAGAGUCUACUUGUCCACGGACAAGUUGGGCCCACAAAUCCACUUGUCCGUACCAAAGAAGAACUUGUCCGUACUUUUUAGUUUAAAAAGGAAAGGAUCAGCAUUAUCAUUACUAAAUAAACAAAUAAUACAAAGAUACACUUCUGUUGACUUCUAUUUUGACUGAUAUAAAGUUUUUAUGUUAUGACUAGAACCAUCCAUUUGAAAAUAUGUUAUAACUAGCAAGCUAAGUGACUAGAACAUCCACUUGAAAAUAUAUGUUAUGACUAGCAAGCUAAGUGACUAGAACAUCCACUUGAAAAUAUGUUAUGACUAGCAAGUUUAGUGAGUAGAGAAUAAUUAAGAACACUUGAACACAUGCCAUUGACAAAAAUAAUCUCAGUAUGCCUAGAAUUUCUACCCUGGUCCCAUAACUCACUGAAUACUGCACCAGUUGGUCUUUCAGGGGUCCUGAAAUAAGCUGUCAGAGUUGUUAAAUGUCAAAACAAUCGACUGGAACAAUUAAGCCACAAAUUUUGGCUACUAAACUUUUUUACAUAGCGCCAACCUAGCUCAUCGAUUUUCUGAAAAUCAAAAAUGAAAGUAGAUAACGGGAAACCCCAGACUGGCACUCAUUUUCAACUUCACGGUAUAAUUUUCCAAUAAUGAUCAUUAAAUGUAGUAAACCAGUCCACGUGUCUAUAAAUGGCUGCAUACAUUUUUGUUUUGAUAAUUUAAGGGUCAUAAAUGAUCACAAACAGAUUAGAUAUUGCCUUUAGGCAUGCGGAAAUCACAGAUGACGCCGAUUAGUUUCGUUUUCAUAAAAUGUUUACCACGGAAAUUUUACUUGUCCCCGGACAAGCCAGCUUCUAAAAACUGCUUGUCCGGACCAAGGAAUCCACGAAUCGGACAACUCGGACAGCUUAUUUCAGGACCCCUGAAUAAUAUGUGUGGUUCCUAUUACAUGGCCAAAAAAAAUAGGGUGCCUAUGAUGAAAACUAGAUACUGGUGUUGCUGUGUACGACGCAAGGACAACCACUGGCCCUUCAGUAUCUCAGAGAUACAAUGUCUUCAUACAUGGUCCAGCACCACACACUCACCCCGGUCACGGCCCGGUGACCCACUAGCAGCUAAAAAGAUUCUGGCACAAGAUUUUGAUGAAUUCCUGAAGGAGCCAUUUCUGGUAUGGGAUGUCCACGUGACCGGAGAACGCCACGUGAUAUUCACCACCCAGACGUAGCUGAACCUGUUGACCAGAGCACGGAAGUGGUAUCUACACAGGACCUUCAAAGCAGUGCAUACACAAUUUUUAGCUCAUCUGAUUUUUUGAAAAAAAAAUGAUGAGUUAUUGUCAUCACUUGAGCGGUUGUCGGCGUCGGCGUCUGCGUCGGCGUUGCCUGGUUAAGUUUUAUGUUUAGGUCAGCUUUUCUCCUAAACUAUCAAAGCUAUUGCUUUGAAACUUGGAAUACUUGUUUACCAUCAUAAGCAGACCCUGUACAUCAAGAAACAUAACUCCAUCUUGCUUUUUGCAAGAUUUAUUGCCCCUUUUGAACUUAGAAAAUCAGUUUUCUUAGUUAAGUUUUAUGUUUAGGUCAGCUUUUAUCCUAAACUAUCAAAGCUAUUGCUUUAAAACUUGCAACACUUGUUCACCAUCAUAAGUUGACCCUGUAUAGCAAGAAACAUAACUCCGUCCUGCUUUUUGCAAGAUUUAUGGCCCCUUUUGGACUUAGAAAAUAUCAGAUUUCUUGGUUAAGUUUUAUGUUUAGGUCAACUUUUUCUCUUAAACUAUCAAAGCUAUUGCUUUGAAACUUGCAACACUUGUUCACCAUCAUAAGCUGACCCUGUACAGCAAGAAACAUAACUCCAUCCUGCUUUUUGCAAUAAUUAUUGCCCCUUUUGGAUUUAGAAAAUCAUUUUCUUGGUUGAGUAUUAUGUUUAAGUCAACUUUUCUCAUAAACUAUCAAAGCUAUUGCUUUAAAACUUGCAACAGUUUUUCACCAUCAUAAGUGGACACUGUACAUCAAGAAACAUAACUCUAUCCUGCUUUUUGCAAGAAUGAUGGCCCUUUUUAGACUUAGAAAAUCAUGGGUAGGACAAUAUUUCUAUUACACAAAAAAAAUCAGAUGAGCGUCAGCACCCGCAAGGCGGUGCUCUUGUUACAGCUGUGUUCAGUCGAUGCCUUCAUCCGAGUGGGCGUCAACAUGAAGCAGGUGCUACUGAUGUACAUGUGCUAAUUUCCAGACGCCGGAAGCAGGAUUAUGUUGCCAUGAGUUGUUACAUAGUUUAAUACUUGAUUGAGGAUUUUUAAUUAUAUAUAUAAUAAUUAAAUACAGUCGAAUACCGUUACCUCGAUAUUCAAGGGACUGUAAAAAAUUGCAGCGACGUAUCCGAAGUUCGACGUAACGAUAUCGACUAUCUGGGACAACUUGUACUUGUGUCGGACGUCUUAAUUGUCACUAUAUCCAAUGCCUUUUUUUAGAGGGUUUGAAAGGGGAAAGAAAUGAUAUAACGAAAAUACGAUUCUAAUUUUAUUGACAAAUAAACAUCUUGAUUAAAUAGUACAUACUUACAUUUAAGUUUUAAAUUUUUCAAAAUAUACGUGUAAACAUUAGCAUUUUAUUCCUUCCAUAAACAAGUCUGAAUGCAGCUGUAAUGUUCCUAGUUGAGUAGUCAUUUUGACUGUGCUUCGAUAACAAAAAUUUGCCUGUGUAAUACGCAUAUUGUUACUCAAUCCUACAUGGCAGAUACAGAAAAAUAUUUCAUCCAAAUUAGUUGUUAUAUUGGAAAACAAGUUGCCCACUUGCACACUGUUUUAUAAGACUAAUUAUUGGGAAUUAAAUGCAAACUUCCUAACAUUUGAAUUGGAUUAAAGAUUAAAUAACAAACACACUAACUUGAUUAUGAUAAAUACAUCGCCGGACAACAAUAGGUUGCUUUUCACACCUUACAGAUAACAUGGAUAUUUUCUGACACGCUGUGAUAUCGACGAAACCAGGUGUAAACACAUUACAGGUAAGUUGACGGGACUGAUAAAUAUCAUCGAGCUAAACAAAAUAUCGAGCUAAUCAUACCGAGGUAAUGAUAAAUAAUUACAUUAGAAUAUAUAGGGAAAAAUCAGGACUGACUAAAAUACAUCGUGCUAACCGGAGUAUCGAGCUAACCGAUAUCGAGGUAACGAUAUUCAACUGUAUUACAAUUUUUCACAGAAAUAUCAUUAAAUUUGAAAGAUUUUUUUUUUUUUGUAUUCAUAUGAAAACAUCUUAAAGGGAAAGGCAAUGUUGUUCUUAUGUUAAUUCCGUCUGCUGGGAUUUCUUAAAUCAUUUAAAGAAGUGAAAAGAAAAAUCAAAAUCGACUUAAAGAGCAUUUAAAUAUUUGAUAAAAGAUGUCGGCUGUUUUGUUUCUAUGGCAACAAAAAAACAAAAUGGCGGAUUUAUCAAAUUUAUAGAUACAUAUUUGAACUGUAUUUACUUAUUACUGUUAAAUAAAUUCUCUACUUCUUCCACUUAUACUGAAGGAAAUUACCAUGUUUUACAUCUAACUCUCAAGAAACAUAUGAAAUUAAUCUAUUUAAAAGGUUAUUUGCUGAAUAAAUAAUUCAACAGUGUGUAAAUGACAUCAUAAACACACUAAGAUGGCAGCCUCUGUGAUCAGCCACUUGUUUAAAUUUCAGACUUACAUACCUUUUUUAGAUAGUGGUCCGAUUUAAAAAUGCAGCGUUAUGAAAGUCUUGAGGAUGACUUUUGUAUAAAAUUAAGUUAUUGACAGGCAUUCCUUGUCCUUUAAAGACAUACAGUUUUUAGCCAAUCAGAGCACGAAGUGCUCAAGGUAAGCUAUUGUGACCGGUCAUUGUCCGUCGUGCGUUGCCUGUCGUGCGUCAUGCGUCCACAUUUGCCUUGUGAACACUCUAGAGGCCACAUUUGUGAUCCAGUCUUUAUGAAACUUGGUCAGAAUGUUAGUCUUGAUGAUCUCUAGGUCAGUUUCGAAACCGGGUUAUCUGGGGUCAAAAACUAGGUCAGAAGGUCAGAUCAAAGGAAAAGCUUGUGAACACUCUAGAUACCACAGUUUUGACCCAAUCUUUAUGAAAUUGGUCAGAAUAUUAGUCUUGAUGAUCUCUAGGUAAAAUUUGAAACUGGGUCAUGUGGGGUCAAAAACUAGGUCAGUAGGUCAGAUCAAAGGAAAAGCUUGUGAACACUCUAGAGACCACAUUUGUGACCCAGUCUUUAUGAAACUUGGUCAGAAUGUUUGUCUUGAUGAUCUCUAGGUCAAGUUCGAAAGUGGGUCAUGUGGGAUCAAAAACUAGGUCAGUAGGUCAGAUCAAAGGAAAAGCCCGUGAACACUCUAGAGACCACAUUUUUGACCCAAUCUUUAUGAAACAUGGUCAGAACAUUAAUGUUGAUGAUCUCUAGGUCAGGUUCGAAACUGGGUCAUGUGAGAUCAAAAACUAGGUCAGUAGGUCAGAUCAAAGGAAAAGCUUGUGAACACUCUAGAGACCACAUUUGUGACCCAAUCUUUAUGAAACUUGUUCAGAACAUUAAUGUUGAUGAUCUCUAGGUCAGGUUCGAAAUUGGGUCAUGUGAGAUCAAAAACUAGAUCAGUAGGUCAGAUCAAAGGAAAAGCCUGUGAACACAUUUGUGACCCAAUCUUUUUGAAACUUGGUCAGAAUGUUUGAUGAUCACUAGGUCAAGUUCAAAACUGGGUCAUGUGGGGUCAGAAACUAGGUCACCUGGUCAGAUCAAAGGAAAAGCGUGUGAACAUUCUAGGGGCCACAGUUGUGACCCAAUAUCCAUGAAACUUAGUCAGAAAGUUCGGCUUGAUGAUUUCUAGGUCAAGCUUGAAUCUUGGUCAUGUAGGGUCAAAAACUAGGUCACCUGGUCAAAUGAAAGGAAAAUCUUGUGAACACUUUAGAGGCCAUAUUUGUGACUCAAUCUUUAUGAAACUGGGUCAGAAUGUUUGUCUUAAUCAUUUCUAGGUUAAGUUUGAAUGUGGGUCAUGUGGGGUCAAAAACUAGGUCACUAGGCCAGAUCUUUUCAACACUCUAGAGACCAUAAUUUAAGUUUGAAACUUAACACAGUUGUAACCAAAUCUUUAUGAAAUUUAGUCAGAAUGUUUGUCUUGAUGAUCUUUAGGUCAAGUUCAACUCUUAUUCAUGUAGGGUCAAAAACUAGGUCAGUAGGCCAGAUCAACUCUGGUGAGCGAUAUAUAGGGCCAUCAUGGCCCUCUUGCUUAAGAUACAGCUUUGAAAUUUGGAUGACAUGUACAGUUUUGCACACCAAUCUUAAAACUGACUUUCAGUGACCAUGAAUGUGACCUACUGACCUACUUUCUAAUGCUUUAGCAUCAGUGUGCUAUUUUAAACAUGUGGCUUGUAUUACUCAGGUGAGCAAUUUAGGAUCAUCAUGACCCUCAUGUCGUAUUCUUCUUGCUUCAAAUAAUAAAAUUGUAAUAAAUCAACAACACCAUUAAAAAUGAUAUAAUAAUCAUCAUUUAAAUAACAUUUUAUAUAAUGCUUUUAAUUCCAUUAAAUUCAGAUCCUGCGGAAGGUUGUUGACAUUCUGGAAGAGGCUCCAGCAGUAGAGUGCUUCACCAUGGACUUUGAGAUAGGUUCUACAAAGACACAUCGGAGAAUUUGGUCUUGCCAGAAUGUACAGAAAGCGCAAGUCCAUGCACAAUCUAAUCUGCAAAUUGUUAGCGCUUCCAUUCCUCCCUGGAGCAGACAUCUAGCGGGCCUUUCGGAAACAACAGGAGCAGGGGAUAGACGGGUUCACAACCAGUCCAGGACCUAUUCACAUAAUUAUGUCAAUGACAAGUGGCUCGCAUAGCUCCAAGUGGCCUGAGGAGGAGCGGUCCUUGUAGCAUCAGACCAUCCGUACUGACAAUGACAC
RNA transcript from Mercenaria mercenaria, 5887 nucleotides. RefSeq lists it as uncharacterized. Lineage: Eukaryota; Metazoa; Mollusca; Bivalvia; Venerida; Veneridae. The record is from RefSeq and is a predicted model, not a curated record. The transcript has 4 exons.